GACGAACGCUGGCGGCGUGCUUAACACAUGCAAGUCGAACGGUAAGGCCCUUCGGGGUACACGAGUGGCGAACGGGUGAGUAACACGUGGGUGAUCUGCCCUGCACUUCGGGAUAAGCCUGGGAAACUGGGUCUAAUACCGGAUAGGACUCCUGGCUUCAUGGUUGGGGGUGGAAAGCUUUUGCGGUGUGGGAUGGGCCCGCGGCCUAUCAGCUUGUUGGUGGGGUAAUGGCCUACCAAGGCGACGACGGGUAGCCGGCCUGAGAGGGUGACCGGUCACACAGGGACGGAGAGAGGGCCCAGACUCCUAGGGGAGGCAGAAGUGGGGAAUAUUGCACAAUGGGCGCAAGCCUGAUGCAGCGACGCCGGGUGAGGGAUGACGGCCUUCGGGUUGUAAACCUCUUUCAGCUAUGACGAAGCGCAAGUGACGGUAGUAGCAGAAGAAGGACCGGCCAACUACGUGCCAGCCGCCGCCGUAA
This 478-nucleotide ribosomal RNA is filed under the name uncultured bacterium. RNAcentral's name for it is "partial 16S ribosomal RNA". It matches the Rfam family "Bacterial small subunit ribosomal RNA", at positions 28 to 523 of the family's 1533-position model. The record is from RNAcentral.